RNAcentral lists this long non-coding RNA (797 nucleotides) under Homo sapiens (human). RNAcentral's name for it is "non-protein coding lnc-CRYBA4-52:2". The record is from RNAcentral. Lineage: Eukaryota; Metazoa; Chordata; Mammalia; Primates; Hominidae.
AGGCUGGAGUAGACAGGAACCACGAGAGGCAGGGAGGACUGUACAGGGGUUGCUGACCAGGUGGAAGAUGAUGGGAGCCUCAGAAGGUGUCGUGGGACAGGGUCAGGGAGAGGGCUCUAUGCGGCCAGGAUCUGGAUGCAGAUUGUUGAGACUGAAAUUUGGCUCAGAUCCCUUCUAGUUGUGUCUGUUUAUCUUCAGUUUCCUUGUCUAUAAAAUGGGGAGAGAUUGUGUGUCCCCGGCAUCACUGGACUGUUAAUAGCUAUUGCAUUUAUAGCAUUUAUCCCAGAACCUGAAACACAGUAAAUGCUCAGUAAGUGUUAUUAUUUGCCCCAAACUGUCUUAGUGCUUUCCCCAAGAGCUUUGUGUUGUUUGUACUAUGAGGAAUAAUGAGGGUGGUGUGGGAGUCGGCCUCUGUGUCUGCAGAGAGGACCACAGGCCACAGGAAUAGAGACAGGUAGAUAGGAUCAAGGUGACAGGAACAGAUGUUCAGAGCAAGAGAUGAAGACGGCAUCAUCAACCCAGACAAGCCAGUUGGAGGCAUCUGUCCACCCAUGUGGUUCCAGACACGUUCAUGUGGCCACCAUGACCCCGUCGGCAUCACAGGGGUAACCAAGGUCCACAGAACGAGGGGAAAGGGUCACUGUGGAUCAAGCCAGGCUCCUCUGAGCAGUCCAGGGUCUAUUUACAGAGAGCAGCAAGUUCCUGGGACAGAGGAGACAGAAGGGAAUUUCCAGGUUCUUCAGGACGUUCACAACCACACUGAGAAGCAUCUUUGCAGAUAAGUAUUUAAACUUACC